UUUUAUUUUUAUUUUUAAUUAGAUAUAUAAGAUUCAUGUCUAAUAUGCUAUUUCUACCAGAUUCCUAAGCAUAACCUAUUUCUCUUGCACCACAGUCAACAUCUACUUAAAGAACUAGGAUGACAGAGACUUAGUGCCAACACUCAUUUACACUUUCUUCAUAAUAUCUCAAUAUACUAUGAAUGCACUGGGUAUGGAGAUUAGGUAAUUAUUUUCUAAUCCUUAAUAAAUCUUGAUUCAUCAACAAAGAAAAUUAAAUUGAUUAUUUACAUCCCAUUAUACCAAAAGAAACCAAACACAGCACAAAAUACUAAACACAAUACAUCUAACAAAAUAACCAAUAAAAUCAAAUUCCCACACUUACG
RNAcentral lists this unclassified non-coding RNA (365 nucleotides) under Hevea brasiliensis (rubber tree). Lineage: Eukaryota; Viridiplantae; Streptophyta; Magnoliopsida; Malpighiales; Euphorbiaceae. The record is from RNAcentral.